RNAcentral lists this ribosomal RNA (701 nucleotides) under Enterococcus faecalis. RNAcentral's name for it is "bacterial SSU rRNA". It matches the Rfam family "Bacterial small subunit ribosomal RNA", at positions 34 to 709 of the family's 1533-position model. Lineage: Bacteria; Bacillati; Bacillota; Bacilli; Lactobacillales; Enterococcaceae. The record is from RNAcentral.
CGCCGGCGGGGUGCUAUACAUGCAGUCGAACGCUUCUUUCCUCCCGAGUGCUUGCACUCAAUUGGAAAGAGGAGUGGCGGACGGGUGAGUAACACGUGGGUAACCUACCCAUCAGAGGGGGAUAACACUUGGAAACAGGUGCUAAUACCGCAUAACAGUUUAUGCCGCAUGGCAUAAGAGUGAAAGGCGCUUUCGGGUGUCGCUGAUGGAUGGACCCGCGGUGCAUUAGCUAGUUGGUGAGGUAACGGCUCACCAAGGCCACGAUGCAUAGCCGACCUGAGAGGGUGAUCGGCCACACUGGGACUGAGACACGGCCCAGACUCCUACGGGAGGCAGCAGUAGGGAAUCUUCGGCAAUGGACGAAAGUCUGACCGAGCAACGCCGCGUGAGUGAAGAAGGUUUUCGGAUCGUAAAACUCUGUUGUUAGAGAAGAACAAGGACGUUAGUAACUGAACGUCCCCUGACGGUAUCUAACCAGAAAGCCACGGCUAACUACGUGCCAGCAGCCGCGGUAAUACGUAGGUGGCAAGCGUUGUCCGGAUUUAUUGGGCGUAAAGCGAGCGCAGGCGGUUUCUUAAGUCUGAUGUGAAAGCCCCCGGCUCAACCGGGGAGGGUCAUUGGAAACUGGGAGACUUGAGUGCAGAAGAGGAGAGUGGAAUUCCAUGUGUAGCGGUGAAAUGCGUAGAUAUAUGGAGGAACAC